UCUCUCUCCCAAGCAAAUAAAACUUUCAUUUCGGAACUUACACCUCGAAAAAAAUCCAUCAGCUUCACAUUCGAUCCUCUCGUAUGACCUACUUCUGCUCGGCGAAUAUUCAGACGGUAGGUCAGUUCCCGCGUUUACACAAAACUCGGGCAACCGGCGCGUUUAUACGCGCUGGAUCGGCCGUGAUCGUCGCCGAAUCCGCGGCCAGAGGGAGACAGCAGACAAAAAGUACGUUUGGCACACUCCACCAUUAGCGGUCGCGGCGAGGAGGCCCGGAACGAUCGGCCGUAACUCAUCCGAUGAGCACGAGGAUCAGACCAGCUCUGCUCUCCGUUACUCACUGACAGCCAGUCGUGGAAAAAGUUAACUUAUUCUAAGCGUGAAACCAGACCCGGACUCCGAAAAGAAGCUGCACAUCGUAAUCAGUCCCCUCGCGUGCCAUCGUCUGUGCUCGACUUUCGCAGGAACCAGAGCGUCUUCCGUUCCUUUAUUACCGGCAAAGCUGAAUCCUGAUUCGUCUCGCCUGACGAGCUGAAAUCUCCCGGCUAGGUUUUGUAACGGGCGAGGCGGACAUUGUAGACGGUCAGUGAGGGCAAUCUUUUGAUGGGAGAUGGUGAGAAGUUUUUUGCUCAUUGAUGUGAUUGUCCAGGAAUUUAUGAGAUAAUGACAGGCGCUAAAAUUAUACUUCGUGGGAGAGAAAAUGGUUGGACUCUUUCUGCUGGGAAGUAUCUGGAUACUUGUUUGGCGUUGAUAGAAUGUAAUUUAACUACGAAGUGGUGGUCAUUCUUUACGAUCGUGACAUAAAGAGGAUGAAAUUUUUUUGUAGAAAACAGCAUGCAAUAAUAAAAUUCUUUAUUGUCAAACUUCA
Long non-coding RNA from Bombus pascuorum, 868 nucleotides. RefSeq lists it as uncharacterized. Lineage: Eukaryota; Metazoa; Arthropoda; Insecta; Hymenoptera; Apidae. The record is from RefSeq and is a predicted model, not a curated record. The transcript is spliced from 2 exons.